Molecule: long non-coding RNA, 2065 nt
Organism: Orcinus orca (killer whale)
Lineage: Eukaryota; Metazoa; Chordata; Mammalia; Artiodactyla; Delphinidae
Exons: 3
Source: RefSeq, a predicted model, not a curated record
CUUGCACCUGGAUUCUCCACACAGGGCCCUGGUCUUGGUGCAUAAACAGCUCUCCUCUCCUGCCAACACUGUGAGCCUCUCCUUGGACCCCAACCCUGGGUCUCGGCCAGCAGCUCCUACAACACCUCUGUGCCACCAGGGGCCUGAGGCUCAAGGAAGCCGCCCUUGCACGAAAACUGCCUUACUGCCUUUGCUCCAGAUCUGCCUGCUGUGCCUCCAGGGGCUGCUGGCUGGACAUUUGCUGUUUCAACAGUAUAUACUAUCCCCCUCACCUCCCCCCACUCUCCCAAGCCUCCAACAUAGUCUGCUUCUAAGCCUCAGGCCCCAGCCCCGGGUCUCCUCUCCUUCCCUCCAACUUUCACCCCUUCAAACUAGAAGAUGUUCAUGAUGUCCAGGAUCUGCUCUACUCCUCCCAUGAGGUUUUGCUACUUUCUCAGGAAUCUGAGUUACCGCUUUCUUUCAUUCUGUACCACUUACUCUCAGUCAGACAGAAAUUCCUUGAAGUUUUCUGACAUUUGCUUGGCACCCUUACCCAGCUUCUAGCAUGAAUGCAGACUUCUCCCAUUUUUAUGGCUCUUCUAGAACUUAAUUUAGAGUUGUAAAGAAGGGCCAUGUUACCCUAAAGACUGAGUGUCCCAUUUUUUUUCUUGUUCAACCUUUCUUCAGUGAAGAAUUUCAACUUUGAAACACAACUUUUCCUGUUUGUAGUUGUGAGAGAGGGUAAUAUUGAACUUUUUUUUUUUUUUUUGCAAAAUGUUCAAAUUGGAGCCUCAGUCAAAUCCUGCUCUGACCACACCCAGGGGAAAUGGAGAAGCUGUAAUGAACAGAACUGUCCCAGGGAAAAGAACACAGGAGGAUGAAAUGGGAAUGGUUUCUCCUGGGUGAUGCAGGGUCCGAGCAAGUCAGGGCUUCUGAAGGAGGCUGCCUUCAAGGGCUCUGACUUGCCUGCCCUGUGGGCCAAAGCCUGCUUUAGCCGCAAGUUUACUAUGCAGAGACAGAAAAGGAAAUUCAUCAACAGAGAUAAUGUCAUGUGUAUGGCCACUGCCAAGAAGGAGAGCCAGAAUCUCUCUCUGGUCGGGCUUCUCCUCGGCCUUUCCUUGUCACAAGGGUGGAGCCCAGCCAGGUGAACCAACCUGACCACCGCCCUGUGUGUGAGCCCGUGGGUGGCUUGUGGAAGCAUGUCCUUGCAGGGCUCCUAUGGUUCCUCCUCAGCCUGAAUGAGGACGCCCACUGUCAUCAAGCCAGGUUUGCAGGCGAAGUUCCUGUCCCAUGCAGACACACAACUUGUAGCUUCCUUGGGAGGGUGGAGGGUGUGGGAAGUGACUCUUUCCAAACAUUUCCAUCUUAUUUUCUCCUCUGAUGCCCAUCCAGGCAACCUGCAUUGCAUAUGUUCUUUGAGGUCCAGAGGCUGGCAGGAAAAGGUUCUACAGGGCCUACACGAGGAUGGAACCACAGAGCAUCACUUAGGGCUCAUCACUUUGGCUUAGACUCAAGGCUGACUAGGACUGCUGACCAUACCUUGCUUACUGUCAGGAAGUCUUCCCUGACUGCACCCAUGAUUGCCUCGGGUGCCUACUGACUGAUGAAUGGCUCUGACUUGGGAACCUUUUGCUCUAGAACACAGUGCCUCUGGGAGCAGAGAACUUCUCGGGCCUGGCGAGACCAAUCUGAGGAACUGGCUGGCACGAGGCAUGAAUGAGCGCCUGGAUGCCCGGUACUUCGGCACAGAACUGCUGGCUAUUGAGUGUUCGGUCAGCUUUUGUCACCAUGGGAGUCAGGCUCUCUCACUGCAGCCACUGCGAACAGGAAUCCCCACCAGGCUUUCCCCGCUGAGCAGCAGAAUCUGAUGUAAACCUCUAAGCAGAGUGACUUGAGUGUCACCAGUCUCUGAAACAUUUCCGAGAGAGAAGCGAGUGAUUGAGCAUCUAUGUGUGUACAUGCUUCUUUCUGUUGCUAAAACACCAGUUUUCUCAUGGAAAAGCCUGUGAACCACUGAGUUAAAACAGGAGCAGACGGUGCUUUGUGACCACCUGGAGGGGUGGGAUAGGGAGGGUGGGAGGGAGGC